Molecule: non-coding RNA, 135 nt
Organism: Dactylonectria estremocensis
Lineage: Eukaryota; Fungi; Ascomycota; Sordariomycetes; Hypocreales; Nectriaceae
Source: the annotation of a GenBank genome assembly
GGUCCUAUAGUCUAGUGGUCAGGACGUUGGAUUGUAUGUCUCCACCUCACGCCUACUCAAGUUCACCGCUAACCUCCAAACAGUUGACUCAUAAUCUGCCUUCCAAAGUCGCCAGUUCGAACCUGGCUAGGACCU